GCUGAUGUGGCUCAGUCGGUAGAGCACUUCCUUGGUAAGGAAGAGGUCGCGGGUUCGAUUCCCGCCAUCAGCACCA
RNAcentral lists this transfer RNA (76 nucleotides) under Achromobacter xylosoxidans. RNAcentral describes it as "tRNA-Thr". It matches the Rfam family "tRNA". Rfam says of the family: Transfer RNA (tRNA) molecules are approximately 80 nucleotides in length. Lineage: Bacteria; Pseudomonadati; Pseudomonadota; Betaproteobacteria; Burkholderiales; Alcaligenaceae. The record is from RNAcentral. RNAcentral also lists the same sequence under 1 other name.